RNAcentral lists this ribosomal RNA (1418 nucleotides) under uncultured bacterium. RNAcentral's name for it is "16S ribosomal RNA". It matches the Rfam family "Bacterial small subunit ribosomal RNA". The record is from RNAcentral.
CUCAGGAUGAACGCUAGCGACAGGCCUAACACAUGCAAGUCGAGGGGCAUCGGGGCGAGGAGCAAUCCUUGCCGCCGGCGACCGGCGCACGGGUGAGUAACGCGUAUGCGACCUGCCCGUUGCAGGGGGAUAAUCGGGAGAAAUCCCGUCUAAUACCGCGUAAUGCCGCGGGGCUGCAUGGCCCUGCGGCCAAAGGGAGCGAUUCCGGCAACGGAUGGGCAUGCGUGACAUUAGCUAGUUGGCGGGGCAACGGCCCACCAAGGCGACGAUGUCUAGGGGUUCUGAGAGGAAGGUCCCCCACACUGGUACUGAGACACGGACCAGACUCCUACGGGAGGCAGCAGUGAGGAAUAUUGGUCAAUGGGCGCGAGCCUGAACCAGCCAAGUCGCGUGAGGGAUGACGGCCCUACGGGUUGUAAACCUCUUUUGUCGGGGAGCAAAUUCCGCCACGUGUGGCGGAGUCGAGAGUACCCGAAGAAAAAGCAUCGGCUAACUCCGUGCCAGCAGCCGCGGUAAUACGGAGGAUGCGAGCGUUAUCCGGAUUUAUUGGGUUUAAAGGGUGCGUAGGCGGACUGUCAAGUCAGCGGUAAAAUACGGGGGCUCAACCUCCGCCCGCCGUUGAAACUGACGGUCUUGAGUGGGCGAGAAGUAUGCGGAAUGCGUGGUGUAGCGGUGAAAUGCAUAGAUAUCACGCAGAACUCCGAUUGCGAAGGCAGCAUACCGGCGCCCGACUGACGCUGAAGCACGAAAGCGUGGGUAUCGAACAGGAUUAGAUACCCUGGUAGUCCACGCAGUAAACGAUGAAUACUAGCUGUCCGGGGCGAAUGAGCCCUGGGUGGCACAGCGAAAGCGUUAAGUAUUCCACCUGGGGAGUACGCCGGCAACGGUGAAACUCAAAGGAAUUGACGGGGGCCCGCACAAGCGGAGGAACAUGUGGUUUAAUUCGAUGAUACGCGAGGAACCUUACCCGGGCUCAAACGACACAGGAACGUACCUGAAGGGUUCGGCUCUACGGAGCCUGUGUCGAGGUGCUGCAUGGUUGUCGUCAGCUCGUGCCGUGAGGUGUCGGCUUAAGUGCCAUAACGAGCGCAACCCCCAUCGACAGUUGCUAACAGGUCAGGCUGAGGACUCUGUCAAGACUGCCGGCGCAAGCUGCGAGGAAGGCGGGGAUGACGUCAAAUCAGCACGGCCCUUACGUCCGGGGCGACACACGUGUUACAAUGGCAGGUACAGCGGGAAGCCACCUGGCGACAGGGAGCGGAACCCGAAAGCCUGUCUCAGUUCGGAUUGGAGUCUGCAACCCGACUCCAUGAAGCUGGAUUCGCUAGUAAUCGCGCAUCAGCCACGGCGCGGUGAAUACGUUCCCGGGCCUUGUACACACCGCCCGUCAAGCCAUGGAAGCCGGGGGUGCCUGAAGU